This is a long non-coding RNA of Amblyraja radiata (thorny skate), 292 nucleotides long. RefSeq lists it as uncharacterized. The transcript is spliced from 3 exons. Lineage: Eukaryota; Metazoa; Chordata; Chondrichthyes; Rajiformes; Rajidae. The record is from RefSeq and is a predicted model, not a curated record.
CAGAGAGCUGGGAGAGAGAGAGGUUCGAGGAAGGAAACAUGAUGCUGGUGUGGGUUUUGGUGCUGACCGCACUGCUUGCCAGUGAUGUGGCAGGGACGACUGACUCCUUGGGACCGGAGGAGACCCGACUAGACCAUGAAAAACGCGACAUAGUCAAAGGACCGUGUGCUGAAAACUGGUUUCAUUUUCCUCCCUUAAAAACCUGUUACCGUUUUUUCUCUGACGCAAAGACAUGGUCAGAUGCUGAGGUAAGUUCUUGAAACCAGUGGUUGUUCUAGGAGGCCUGGGGAAC